UACGAAGGGGGCUAGCGUUGCUCGGAAUUACUGGGCGUAAAGGGCGCGUAGGCGGCUGUUUAAGUCGGGGGUGAAAGCCCGGGGCUCAACCUCGGAAUUGCCUCCGAUACUGGACAUCUUGAGUACGGGAGAGGUGAGUGGAACUCCGAGUGUAGAGGUGAAAUUCGUAGAUAUUCGGAAGAACACCAGUGGCGAAGGCGACUCACUGGCCCGUUACUGACGCUGAGGCGCGAAAGCGUGGGGAGCAAACAGG
RNAcentral lists this ribosomal RNA (253 nucleotides) under uncultured bacterium. RNAcentral's name for it is "partial 16S ribosomal RNA". It matches the Rfam family "Bacterial small subunit ribosomal RNA", at positions 524 to 776 of the family's 1533-position model. The record is from RNAcentral.